AGUACAUUUGGAAUGCCUGUAUCUGCUAGAAUCUCCUCUAGACUGAAGGAUCUGAAACAUGAAGCUGAGAGGAUCAACAAUGUAAAUAUACUUGUUUGCACACCGGGUCGGCUUCUUCAACACAUGGAUGAAACGAUAUGUUUUCAUGCUACUAAUCUCCAAAUGUAGUUCUUGAUGAAGCAGAUAGAAUCUUGGAUAUGGGCUUUGCUGAUACCAUGAAUGCUAUUAUUGAAAAUCCUCCCAAGAGACAUCAGACUUUACUUUUCUCAGCAACACAAACCAAAUCUGUAAAGGACCUUGCACGCUUGAGUUUGAAAAACGCUGAGUAUGUCUGGGUUCAUGAGAAAGCAAAAUAUAGUUAAUACGUCAUGACAAGUUAUAAUCAAGAAUAUCUUAAGGCA
Long non-coding RNA from Cynocephalus volans (Philippine flying lemur), 401 nucleotides. RefSeq lists it as uncharacterized. The transcript has 4 exons. The record is from RefSeq and is a predicted model, not a curated record. NCBI's taxonomy places the organism in Eukaryota, Metazoa, Chordata, Mammalia, Dermoptera, Cynocephalidae.